Molecule: transfer RNA, 85 nt
Filed under: Felis catus (domestic cat)
Lineage: Eukaryota; Metazoa; Chordata; Mammalia; Carnivora; Felidae
Also listed under: 5 other names
Rfam family: tRNA
About the family: Transfer RNA (tRNA) molecules are approximately 80 nucleotides in length.
Source: Rfam by way of RNAcentral
GCCUGGGUGGCUCAGUUGGUUAAGCAUCUGACUUCGGCUCAGGUCAUGAUCUCGCAGUUUGUGAGUUCAAGCCCCACAUCGGGCU